UACGAAGGGGGCUAGCGUUGCUCGGAAUUACUGGGCGUAAAGGGCGCGUAGGCGGACAGUUUAGUCAGAGGUGAAAGCCCAGGGCUCAACCUUGGAACUGCCUUUGGUACUGACUGUCUUGAGUUCGGGAGAGGUGAGUGGAAUGCCGAGUGUAGAGGUGAAAUUCGUAGAUAUUCGGCGGAACACCAGUGGCGAAGGCGACUCACUGGCCCGAUACUGACGCUGAGGCGCGAAAGCGUGGGGAGCAAACAGG
RNAcentral lists this ribosomal RNA (253 nucleotides) under uncultured bacterium. RNAcentral's name for it is "partial 16S ribosomal RNA". It matches the Rfam family "Bacterial small subunit ribosomal RNA", at positions 524 to 776 of the family's 1533-position model. The record is from RNAcentral.